AAGACUAUAGACCUGCGGAGUACCUGCGGAAGGAUCAUUACUGAGUUUCACAACUCUCUAACCCUGUGUGAACUGAAGUCUGGUUGCUCAGGCAGGCGGCCCCCGGGGGGAGCCGCAGCUUCUCUGAAGCGCCUGCCGGAGGAUACCUAAACUCGUUUUAACAUAUAAUCUUCUGAGUAAUAAAAAAAAAAUGAAUCAAAACUUUCAACAACGGAUCUCU
RNAcentral lists this unclassified non-coding RNA (220 nucleotides) under soil metagenome. RNAcentral describes it as "partial contains 5.8S ribosomal RNA, internal transcribed spacer 2, and large subunit ribosomal RNA". The record is from RNAcentral.